UACAGAGGAUGCAAGCGUUAUCCGGAAUGAUUGGGCGUAAAGCGUCUGUAGGUGGUUUCAUAAGUCUACUGUCAAAGAUCAGGGCUUAACCCUGAGCAGGCAGUAGAAACUAAGAAGCUUGAGUACGGUAGGGGCAGAGGGAAUUCCCGGUGUAGCGGUGAAAUGCGUAGAUAUCGGGAAGAACACCAAUGGCGAAAGCACUCUGCUGGGCCGAAACUGACACUCAGAGACGAAAGCUAGGGGAGCGAAUGGGAUUAGAAACCCGGUAGUCC
Molecule: ribosomal RNA, 272 nt
Filed under: uncultured prokaryote
Description: partial 16S ribosomal RNA
Rfam family: Bacterial small subunit ribosomal RNA
Source: RNAcentral